GUGCUCAUUUUGGCAGUACAUGUACUCAAAUUGGAACAAUACAGAGAUUAGCAUGGUCCCUGCACAAGGAUGACACACAAAUUCAUGACGCGUUCCAUAUUUUU
Molecule: small nuclear RNA, 104 nt
Organism: Choloepus didactylus (southern two-toed sloth)
Lineage: Eukaryota; Metazoa; Chordata; Mammalia; Pilosa; Megalonychidae
Source: RefSeq, a predicted model, not a curated record